Molecule: ribosomal RNA, 506 nt
Filed under: uncultured bacterium
Lineage: Bacteria
Description: partial 16S ribosomal RNA
Rfam family: Bacterial small subunit ribosomal RNA
Source: RNAcentral
AUUGAACGCUGGCGGCAGGCCUAACACAUGCAAGUCGAGCGGCAGCGGAAAGUAGCUUGCUACUUUGCCGGCGAGCGGCGGACGGGUGAGUAAUGUCUGGGAAACUGCCUGAUGGAGGGGGAUAACUACUGGAAACGGUAGCUAAUACCGCAUAACGUCGCAAGACCAAAGAGGGGGACCUUCGGGCCUCUUGCCAUCAGAUGUGCCCAGAUGGGAUUAGCUGGUAGGUGGGGUAACGGCUCACCUAGGCGACGAUCCCUAGCUGGUCUGAGAGGAUGACCAGCCACACUGGAACUGAGACACGGUCCAGAAUCCUACGGGAGGCAGCAGUGGGGAAUAUUGCACAAUGGGCGCAAGCCUGAUGCAGCCAUGCCGCGUGUAUGAAGAAGGCCUUCGGGUUGUAAAGUACCUUCAGCGGGGAGGAAGGCGUUGAGGUUAAUAACCUCAGCGAUUGACGUUACCCGCAGAAGAAGCACCGGCUAACUCCGUGCCAGCCGCCGCGGUAA